Molecule: long non-coding RNA, 1122 nt
Organism: Triticum dicoccoides
Lineage: Eukaryota; Viridiplantae; Streptophyta; Magnoliopsida; Poales; Poaceae
Exons: 7
Source: RefSeq, a predicted model, not a curated record
GAAAAUAUUGAUGAUUCCUGUUGUGUAUUCUCAAGGAAUGGUCAGGUUAAAUACUGACCGUUGCGGUGCGUAGAAGAAAGGUGCCACUUUCACUUAGUUCUCUCAGUUCUAAGUUGGGACUGCAAAAAUUUGAGAAUUUCCCCACAUAGACCUGAAGUUUCUGCUUCUAGCAUUUCUCUUCUGUAAGCAACAUGGCAAACCCGGUUUCAAAGUAAAGACCUGAGGAAGAAUGUAGAUUGAUCACUGUGAUUUCAAGUCCUUCAGAGCUGGAGCUGUUAAGACUUGAGACAGAUAUAUGCAGGGCCACAGGGGCCUACAAGAUCCAAUUCAUAAGAAAGCUGAGGCACAUCAAUCAAACGCCAACCCACCUGCUAUUGGCACUAAAUGAGGAAGGAAAAAGAACAUUGUCCCUGAAGGCUCGAGAUACACAAACAGGCAACUGAGUUUGGGAAAGGUGGUUGUCUCCUUGACGCACACCAUGGUGCCCUUGUUUACUCUCUCUCUUCUUCCUUGGACAGACACCUUAUUUACUGGUAGCAGGUUCUCUCGUACCAUUUUUCGGUGGAGUUGUAUUGGCAUCUUUGACUGAAGUUUCUUUCAACUGACAAAACAUGACAAGAAAGGGGUAGAACUAACCUACAUGGAGCUUGGUCAAGGUCGCCGCUCAUGUUUGACGGCAUUGUUUCCGGUUCCACUACGUUGUCGAUGCAUGUUACCUAUGGCCCCGUUGCUGCUUUCCUCGGUAGGGCGUGGUCCAUCAGCCACUGCGUGCAGACAAUAGAAUUUAGGCCAGCAAUUGUCGCUUAUCUACGCUACAGAUCGACCCAUAGACAGGGAAAGGAAGCGAUGGCUAGUGGGGAGAGGAGCCGGGGGACGUGUUGUGACGGGACAAGAGGCGCAAUGGCAGGGAGAGAAGCUAAAGACUACGCCAUGUGAGUUGCUGAAGUUGUGCCUUAUGCGGUGGGGAUAAGGGAUGUGUGAUGUGCUUGUGUGGUGAGAGGCGAGGAGUGGCUUUUCCUUUUUGUGGGAGGCUGUUCAUAUUUGUCUAUUCUAUUUUUAUAUUCAAGAUACAUACAAUUAUUUAUCAUCAUUAUAAUCGAGAUAAUAAAUAUUUAUUUAUUC